Molecule: ribosomal RNA, 460 nt
Filed under: uncultured bacterium
Lineage: Bacteria
Description: bacterial SSU rRNA
Rfam family: Bacterial small subunit ribosomal RNA
Source: RNAcentral
GAUAAACGCUGGCGGCAUGCCUAAUACAUGCAAGUGGAACGAGUCAUUUCGGUGAUUCGUCGCGAACGGGUGAGUAACACGUAGAUAACCUACCCAAUAGAGGGGGAUAACCAUUGGAAACGAUGGAUAAUACCGCAUAGAUACUCCUUGGGCAUCUAAGGAAGUAGAAAGGAGCAAUUGCUCUGCUAAUGGAUGGAUCUGCGGCGCAUUAGUUAGUUGGUGAGGUAACGGCCCACCAAGGCGAUGAUGCGUAGCCGGCCUGAGAGGGUGAACGGCCACAUUGGGACUGAGACACGGCCCAGACUCCUACGGGAGGCAGCAGUAGGGAAUAUUGGGCAAUGGGGGCAACCCUGACCCAGCAACGCCGCGUGAAGGAAGAAGGCUUUCGGGUUGUAAACUUCUUUUACCAGGGACGAAGAAAGUGACGGUACCUGGAGAAAAAGCCACGGCUAACUACGUG